RNAcentral lists this ribosomal RNA (1000 nucleotides) under Vibrio sp. RNAcentral describes it as "bacterial SSU rRNA". It matches the Rfam family "Bacterial small subunit ribosomal RNA", at positions 62 to 1041 of the family's 1533-position model. Lineage: Bacteria; Pseudomonadati; Pseudomonadota; Gammaproteobacteria; Vibrionales; Vibrionaceae. The record is from RNAcentral.
UCGAGCGGAACGAGUUAACUGAACCUUCGGGGAACGUUAACGGCGUCGAGCGGCGGACGGGUGAGUAAUGCCUGGGAAAUUGCCCUGAUGUGGGGGAUAACCAUUGGAAACGAUGGCUAAUACCGCAUAAUAGCUUCGGCUCAAAGAGGGGGACCUUCGGGCCUCUCGCGUCAGGAUAUGCCCAGGUGGGAUUAGCUAGUUGGUGAGGUAAUGGCUCACCAAGGCGACGAUCCCUAGCUGGUCUGAGAGGAUGAUCAGCCACACUGGAACUGAGACACGGUCCAGACUCCUACGGGAGGCAGCAGUGGGGAAUAUUGCACAAUGGGCGCAAGCCUGAUGCAGCCAUGCCGCGUGUAUGAAGAAGGCCUUCGGGUUGUAAAGUACUUUCAGCAGUGAGGAAGGCGGAGUCGUUAAUAGCGGCCUCGUUUGACGUUAGCUGCAGAAGAAGCACCGGCUAACUCCGUGCCAGCAGCCGCGGUAAUACGGAGGGUGCGAGCGUUAAUCGGAAUUACUGGGCGUAAAGCGCAUGCAGGUGGUUUGUUAAGUCAGAUGUGAAAGCCCGGGGCUCAACCUCGGAAUUGCAUUUGAAACUGGCAGACUAGAGUACUGUAGAGGGGGGUAGAAUUUCAGGUGUAGCGGUGAAAUGCGUAGAGAUCUGAAGGAAUACCGGUGGCGAAGGCGGCCCCCUGGACAGAUACUGACACUCAGAUGCGAAAGCGUGGGGAGCAAACAGGAUUAGAUACCCUGGUAGUCCACGCCGUAAACGAUGUCUACUUGGAGGUUGUGGCCUUGAGCCGUGGCUUUCGGAGCUAACGCGUUAAGUAGACCGCCUGGGGAGUACGGUCGCAAGAUUAAAACUCAAAUGAAUUGACGGGGGCCCGCACAAGCGGUGGAACAUGGUGGUUUAAUUCGAUGCAACGCGAAGAACCUUACCUACUCUUGACAUCCAAAGAACUUUCCAAAGAUGGAUUGGUGCCUUCGGGAACUCUGAAACAGGGGC